This 64-nucleotide transfer RNA is filed under the name Prosthiochaeta sp. CAU WL-2019511. Its description in RNAcentral is "tRNA-Gly". Lineage: Eukaryota; Metazoa; Arthropoda; Insecta; Diptera; Platystomatidae. The record is from RNAcentral.
AUCUGUGUAGUAUAAUGUAUAUAUGACUUCCAAUCAUAAGGUCUAUUACCUAAUAGUACAGAUA